AGUUCGGAAUGUUCAUUCCUGUUAGUUUUAUAUUCAAAGGUGUCAUCACUAUAUAUGGCAGUUUCCAAUCUAUAACCUCUUUGAACUGUGGUCAGAAUUUCAACAGCAACUUUCCAAUCCUACUUGUGAAUAGUGUAAAAUUGCUAAUAGCUUCAGGCAGUGCUUUAGAAGACAGUAAAUCUUCUAAGAGCUAAUAUAUUGACGUUCCUCCAAAGCUUCGCAAUAAUUGGUGAACAACGCUUUUGCCAGUCCGAAUUCUAAAUAUGCCACCAAAGAGAGCCGUGACUACGAAGGUGGCUGAAGAAGAUGAAACUUCACCAGUAGAACAACGGCGAGUGUUAAGACCACGCAAGAAAGAGCCGGAGGAAAAACCGAUUGUCAAUGAGUCAAAAGUAAAACAAAAAGCUCCAAAGCAACCAAAGUCUACUGCCAAAAACACAGAGGAAGAAAAAUCAGAAAAUGGAGCUGCACCAAAUAUUGAUGCAAAACCCAACAAAAAAGUAAACUCAAAAAUUGAAUCAAAACGUAAAACCGAAAAAAAAAUAAUGGAGGACGUCCCAAAACAAAAGAAAAAAGGAAAACAAACCGUCUCAAGUAAAUCAAAAACUGAACCAAAAUCAAUUGGGGAAGAAGUCCUUAACCAGAAGGAAAAAAAGGAAACAGUUACCGAAACACAAAGUAAUCUCUCAAAUCUACCGGAAACUAAAGGAAUAAAUAUUAACGUUGGUAGCAGGAAAAAAGUGCGAGUGGUAAAUACCCUGAUGUAACAAACGUGUAUACGUUUUGGAGCAACAUGGGAAACGCCCCAGCCAAAAAUAUCGGUUCGCGAUUGGACUACUACUAUCGUUUCUGAAAGCCUCAUAGAAAAAGUUUGCGACAGUACCGUAGAAAGUGAAGUGUAUGGAUUAGAUAAUUGUCCAAUAAAUUUAUUUAUUAAUGUGUAAUGCGCUCGAUAUUGUUUAAAGUUUACGAAACUAAAUGAUAAAGUUUUUAUGUGAAUGAUCCGCUUUAAUGCCAUUAUUUUUAAACAACGUAUUCAUGAUCGUUACUAUCAUGUUUUUAUUUCUAUUUUUUACUAAUAUAUUAUAUAAGAACAGUU
This is a long non-coding RNA of Dendroctonus ponderosae (mountain pine beetle), 1099 nucleotides long. RefSeq lists it as uncharacterized. The record is from RefSeq and is a predicted model, not a curated record. The transcript is spliced from 3 exons. NCBI's taxonomy places the organism in Eukaryota, Metazoa, Arthropoda, Insecta, Coleoptera, Curculionidae.